Cebus imitator (Panamanian white-faced capuchin) is the source of this 163-nucleotide long non-coding RNA. RefSeq lists it as uncharacterized. Lineage: Eukaryota; Metazoa; Chordata; Mammalia; Primates; Cebidae. The record is from RefSeq and is a predicted model, not a curated record. The transcript has 4 exons.
ACUGUGCAAAGGAAUACUCAGAUUUCAGUGGAUUUGCAAAUUUUGUGGACUUUAACCCUAGUGGUACAUGCAUAGCUUCAGCAGGUUCUGAUCAAACCGUGAAAGUCUGGGACAUAAGAGUGAACAAAUUACUACAGCAUUAUCAAGGUAACAGCGGGGAGUU